AGGCAAAACACAGGUGUGACUUUCACACAGAGAGUCAUAAAGUGUGUUUAUAAAAGGAUGUAAAUAUUUCUGGGGGAAAAAAACAUUUAGAAAAAAGAAAACAGCUUGAAACCAGUCACUUGGGAGUAAAACAAUACAGAUGUUUUCAACCAAGAAUGAAAAGAAAAAGAUAAUACAGUUUGUAAAAAUGAGAUCACUGGGUCAUUAUGUACUUCUGGUAUUUCAAUCUUCUAUCCAGGCCAGCCUCCUAAAUAAAUAAAAGGAUAGGCUAAUAUUUGCUAUGGGGCCAUUUUGACUGUUAAACCUAUCAAGGAUGCUCUGUGGUUUUUCAGGGAUUAUUUGCUGAGCUGAAGGAAGAAAGGCUGAUCCUUACAAUCCUUCAGUAAACAAAUAUUAGAGUGCUGUUUGAACCAGCAGCGGCGCAGGGACAAAGUUUUAGCUAUGCUCAACCGAUCACACCCAAAGGGAUAUAUUUUGGGACAUGACACCACCCCAGCCAAUCCACGAGUACUGAGCUCUGCAUAAUCUGUAGAUCUGGUCUCUGGUCAACAACAAGGUGUAAUCGUCCAGGCUCCAAGGGACAGCCUGGAUUUCAAACUGAAUACGAUCUACGACCACGGCACGGCCUUAUUCUGGAGCAAGAAUCAAAUGGUGUGCCAGAGAGAAACCAUCAGUAUUGGCAAACGAAGGAAAAGGAAAAACUUGGAGAAGCAGCUCAUGCUACAACAAGAGCAAGAGGAGGGCAUUAGAGUUUGGAUCGACCCGAAGAGGAACACCUACCACUACCUGACAUGACGGGAAAAUAUUGUCAGGCGCUCUGCUUUCUCAACAAUUAGAACUUCAGCUUUGGAGGAGGCUUCAAGAACUACCAACUACUGCUGCUGCUAACCAGGACGUCCUGACAAUAAAACAGUCCUGUCAGUGUUUUUUGUUUUGCCGGUGCAUGAACAAACCAAAAACAGAACAAUGUAGUGUAAUGUAGUAUCAUUUUCAUACUCGAUACUCUAAAUGUUUUUCUUUUGGCUUGAAUAUUAAACAUUCGCCAAGCAGACAAAAGAAGAGAGUUGAAGCUGCUUUUAAUUUGGCAGUGCAGUAAAGAACAAAUUCAGUGUUUUUUUUUUUUUUUUUGGACAAACUUUGAUCAGUCUAUAUCUAUACAACUAAAAGAAUCUGGGCCGGUUUAUCCUAAGAAAACAGAGACGCUUUAAAUACUCAUGACUUAAAAAGAACUUGUAGAUUAAUGCCUGAAUUUCAUAAUAUGUCUAAGAAAAAAAUGGCGAUUACAAUGCAAAACUGAACGUAGUUCAAGGACG
RNA transcript from Xiphophorus maculatus (southern platyfish), 1313 nucleotides. RefSeq lists it as uncharacterized. The record is from RefSeq and is a predicted model, not a curated record. The transcript is spliced from 4 exons. Lineage: Eukaryota; Metazoa; Chordata; Actinopteri; Cyprinodontiformes; Poeciliidae.